GAGGAGAAAUGGAACCAAAGGAGACAGAGGAAGUGAGCUGUCUAUGUGAGCCCUUUAGUCAAACUCUUUGUAAUGCAAAAGAUGAAGACCUCUGAGAAAAAGAUACAAACACAGACACCCACCAAGGAAACAGGAGAAGAGGCCCAUCAAGAUGACAGUAAUGGACAGGUAAAUCGUUUUGACAUAUUAUUAAUGCAAAAAGCUUUGAUGCACUAACGUAGACCUUAAACAUUUCAUUUGGUAAAGCAGCAUGCAGAGACAUCUCUGGCAACCACCUUGCAUGAUGCUGCAUCUCAGCUAUCAACAUUGUGGCAAAAAGAGGACACAGAAGUGGUGGUAUCUGUGGUUCCUUCUCAAAUUAGGGGCCAAAGCUUUGUUAUUCACCACAGUAAGCUGAGAUCACUUCGCUCUCAUCAGUGGCUUACAGGAGCGGUACGAUGUGUUACAGUGAAA
Betta splendens (Siamese fighting fish) is the source of this 453-nucleotide long non-coding RNA. RefSeq lists it as uncharacterized. The record is from RefSeq and is a predicted model, not a curated record. Lineage: Eukaryota; Metazoa; Chordata; Actinopteri; Anabantiformes; Osphronemidae. The transcript is spliced from 3 exons.